ACUCUUGAAUUAUGUGAACUCCAAAAACCUCUAGAAUUUUAUUUCAAAGUAAUUCGAGGGCACGAUUAUUCUGGGAAAAUUUGCUGAGCCUUACACAAACAAAGCAUCCCAACAUGAAGCUAAGCUUCAUCCGUCACAUAAUAUGAAGGUUGUAAGGAUGAUGGUCCAUUGAACAACUUUGCUUUAAGACCAAAAACAUGGUCAUGUAAACACCUGUGUGGUGGAGUGUAGAUGAUGGAGGAAAUAAUGAAUGGCGUAAUUUAAGGAUGUAGGACAUUGUAGGAUACGACCUCGUGGAUGCGUUUGUCAUCGUCAUCUCCCCUCCAAUACAACUGCCUCGAUUCACUGCUUCGUUUGACAGAAUGGCUCAGUAUUCACUAAGCAGUUGGACUGUGACACUUGCAUACAGUGGUCGACGAUAAAUUUAUUAUUCUUAGCACAUAGCAAUAUCAUGAAAUUUGAUAAACAAACUGAAAAGAAAAGUUGAUAGUUAUUAUUUUUAAUUCAACUUUUGUUUACACUUUUAAUUACUGUCGACAAAUUGAUUAUUUAUCCAUUAUUAUUUUAAAUAAAAAAAUGUGUCUGAUACUUGUUUGUCACGUGUUUUAUACACGUACAGUGUAAAAAAGUGCUACUCUACACUUGAAGAUUAAGUUUGAGUGUCUUUAAUGGGCCUUUUGAACUCUUGAGAAAAAGGACAACUCUCAAAGCCUCUAGAGUUUAGUUAUUUUUUUCUGUGACAAUUCUACGAACGUCUGUUCAUAUGAGACUAUUUAAUUUAAUGAUAUGAUAUUGCAACUAUUUAGCUGGCAAAUGAACAUCUUCUGAAUCCAAUGAGAGACAUAGAAACUCCGAAAUGACUGGGGAUUUACUCAUUUCUGGAUUCAAUUACUUUGAUACAGAAGUCCAUGUUGGAGAAAUAAUAUAAAGUAUUAUCUUUUUCAAUUGUUUGAAUGUAUAAUUAAAAUUGAUUGACACUAGUUAAAGUUUUAUUUGGAGUUUGAUUAUAAAUAAAUAAGUUAUUAAUUUAAAAUAGUGCAACGAAAAUUAAAACUAAAGUGACGUUAAAUUGAAUGCUUGAUAAAUUUGAAAAAUCGUUUAUCAAGAUGUCUAUAAGAGUUUAGCUUGUGUAAUAUCAAACAGUCGAUGAACCAAAAGCUUCUGUGAAGAGUUGAGUAGCAAUUUCAGACGGAUAAAAAAUUUGAAGAUGACAGGAGCAGAAUCAGGUUUGAGUAUGAGUAGUGUAGCAACUUGGCUUCCGCAAGUAACGAAUGCAGCCAACCAGACAAUAAUAGAAGGGGAAAUAUCCAGAUUUCCAAAACCUCUGAGGACUUUUGCAGCAGUUGUGGCAAUUCUGAUACUACUAACCGGUCUUUUGGGAAAUCUUUUAACUAUUAUUGCCCUUUGUAAAUAUCCCAAAGUGCGGAAUGUUGCAGCAGCAUUUAUUAUUAGUCUUUGUGUAGCAGAUUUCAUCUUCUGCGUCUUAGUGUUACCUUUUGAUUCAAUAAGGUUUAUAAAUAGUAGUUGGACUGACAUAAGAUUUUUCUGCAUUCUUGUGCCAUUUUUGAGAUACGGAAAUGUUGGAGUUAGUCUUCUUUGUGUUGGUGCCAUAACUGUCAAUCGUUACAUCAUGAUAACACAUCACAAUCUUUAUAGUAAAGUUUACAAAAAGCAUUGGAUUGCUAUGAUGAUUAUAUUUUGCUAUGUAUUCUCUUAUGGAAUGCAAAUUCCUACACUUAUUGGAUCUUGGGGAAAGUUUGAUUAUGAUCCUAAUUUGGAAACAUGUUCAAUUGUAAAAGAUUCAAAAGGUCAAAGUUCGAAAACCUUUCUUUUUGUUACUGGCUUCUUUAUACCUUGCAUUGUCAUAGUUGGUUGUUACGCUAAAAUAUUUUGGGUUGUUCACAGCUCUGAAUCGAGAAUGCGUAAGCAUGCAAGUCCAACGAUAAAGUCCCCUCACACUCCCGGUCGAGACACAAGGGAGAUAAAGCAAAAGCGAAGCGAAUGGAGAAUAACAAAAAUGGUACUAGUAAUUUUUGUGAGCUUUGUUGCCUGUUACUUACCAAUUACUAUUGUAAAAGUUGCUGAUCCAGAAGUUAAAUAUCCAGGUUUACAUGUUCUGGGCUACCUGUUGCUGUACUUUUCUUCGUGUGUCAAUCCUAUAAUCUACGUAAUCAUGAACAAACAAUACAGACAAGCAUACGCGGGUGUGAUAAGCUGUUCAAAGAUUAGAGCAACCCUGACACCUCAUGGGAGCAGCAAUCCAGGACAAAAUAACUUUGGCCAAGGAUUGCCAGAUGCGAGCUAGAUAAAUAGCGCAGUUACUUUACUACUAACGCGGAUCGGCGAUAGCAUGUUUAAGAAUGGAGAAUGAGCUAGAUUAUUCCAAAGAUUACAGCAAAACUAUGGUGUCUACAGUCUCAAUGGCCAUGAAUCCUGUUAUAAGAAAAUCCGAACUACCAGAUGAUUUUUAAAAAAGAAUCUGGGAUAUUUACAUAAUUUUUAAAAUUAUGGGACCAAUAGUCAUAGUAAUGAAUUGCAUUUUUAUGAAAUUUUUUUUCAUGUAAGCAUUUUUUGUACUCUUUGGCGAUUACAGCGCGCUUAGUUAUUAAAAUAGUUAAAUGAGUUAUUUAUUUAUAUGAUAGAAUAAGCCAGUUGAUGGUAACUGAAAUGUUACGCAGAUGUAUUGAAGAUUUUAUAAUGUGUAGCUAAUAAUUGAUAAACUUAUAUCAAUUAUCUGGUCAUUUCUCUGAUAAUUUUCACAUCGACGAUAUGA
RNAcentral lists this unclassified non-coding RNA (2773 nucleotides) under Chelonus insularis. RNAcentral describes it as "g-protein coupled receptor moody, transcript variant X5". The record is from RNAcentral. Lineage: Eukaryota; Metazoa; Arthropoda; Insecta; Hymenoptera; Braconidae.